UACGGGAGGCAGCAGUGGGGAAUAUUGCACAAUGGGCGCAAGCCUGAUGCAGCCAUGCCGCGUGUAUGAAAAAGGCCUUCGGGUUGUAAAGUACUUUCAGUCGUGAGGAAGGUGUUAAGGUUAAUAACCUUAGCAAUUGACGUUAGCGACAGAAGAAGCACCGGCUAACUCCGUGCCAGCAGCCGCGGUAAUACGGAGGGUGCGAGCGUUAAUCGGAAUUACUGGGCGUAAAGGGCACGCAGGCGGUUAAUUAAGUUGGAUGUGAAAUCCCCGGGCUUAACCUGGGAAUGGCAUUCAAGACUGGUUAGCUAGAGUCUUGUAGAGGGGGUAGAAUUCCAUGUGUAGCGGUGAAAUGCGUAGAGAUGUGGAGGAAUACCGGUGGCGAAGGCGGCCCCUGGACAAAGACUGACGCUCAUGUGCGAAAGCGUGGGGAGCGAAACAGGGAUUAGAUACCCG
Molecule: ribosomal RNA, 456 nt
Filed under: uncultured bacterium
Lineage: Bacteria
Description: bacterial SSU rRNA
Rfam family: Bacterial small subunit ribosomal RNA
Source: RNAcentral